GUCUCCCCCUUUGCCCAGGGUACUUACCAUUAAAUUAGCUACACUCCAUGGUAAUCAUGCUUGCCCCUCUAUUCAUACAGGGAGCUUCACCUGAGGAUCAGUCCCUGGCUUGCCAUGGCGGCUUUACACAACACCAAAGCACAACUGGAGGCUUUAGAUGCAGGGACUAAGGGUUUGCAGGCGUGGGUUUUGAACCAAAUUGGGGCAGCCACUGACGCUCUACCAGAUUCUGAGGUGGCUUGCCUUGCUUCUGUCUCUUGGUUCCAUAGAACUGGCGGGAUGCCAGGCCACUGGCCCGAAGCUCCUUAGUGGAACCUGACCGGACCUGCAUUUGGCUCUGGCUACUGAGGGGAGUGAUUUCUGAGCAUGAGGAUUCUGGGGAACUUCAUCUACUGGCUGAGCACAAACUCAGAACAGCAGGGGCCAGAGGAGUUCUGCUGUCACCCGUGCUUGGGCUUGAGGACCCCAAUCAACCUGUGGUUAGGAGUGACAGGAGGAAAGCAGGGCCAGGACUGCCUACUUAUAUGACAGCCAGUUCUGGAACAUGAAAGACGGCAGGCACUGGUGGCUGCAUCUCUGAUCAGUCAUAUAUAAUGAUAUUCUCACUUUGGGUAACCAUAAUACCUCUAAGUUUUCUAUGAGAAACAACAGUAAUAAUAACUCUGCUUGCUUGGCAAAUGGAAGAGGAUAGGUAUACAGUAUUUUUCUAUUUGGAGUUUGUAGUGUAAACACCACCAUCUUUAUUUCUGUCACCUAACUUUUACUUUAAUAACACUGUUCCCUUAGAGAUGCCCCAUAAACCACCCCCUCAUUCCUGAACCAGUCUUUGAAUUCCCAACACAGAACACUGAGACCCCAGGUUGAGAGGGGUAUUUUAUGAUCAGUUUGAAAAUGUUGGUGCAGCUAUAAAUUAAGAAGUCAAAUUGCUCCCAUAUUGGGUAUUGAUAUACUGCGCACGGUGGAGAAAUUUCUCUGCGACAUUGCAUGCUGCUAGUGGGGGUCUUCAUGCCUGUGAACACUGUGUCUAGGGCCUAAGAGAGCUUUGGCCUUUGAGCUUAGGGAGGAUGAGAUUUUUCUGGUCAGUGAGCCUCUUGAUGCUUCCUGGAUGCCCCUGGGUGGGAAGAGGUGCUGGUGUUUUUCUGGCUGCAUUGCACUAGCCACUCUGUUCAGUACAGUGAGUGCCUGGGCCUGUGUGGUUCUGAAGCCAAAGCCCAUUCCAGUCCUUGGCCCACUUCCAAGUUGCUCAGUCACUUUCCUGGUUGGCCUCGGAUAAGCACUAAGCCCCUCUUUUCCUGAGCCUCCAACUUUCCAUCAAGUUAUUUCCAGUUUAGAAUAAUUUGAACAUGUCCAAAGGCAGGGAGGGAGCUGCCUUCCUAAAGAAGCAAGAGGGUGAAUCCUUUUGGAAAAUGAUUUAUUCUUUCCAGGCACUCACAACUAGCCAGCAGCUAAGUGGGGCUCUAACAUCGAAGGGUGGUUUGUAAGCCAGGCCGGAUUUCUCUGCACUAAGUUAGCAGUCUGGUUGUGCACACAAUUAAUCAGACUUUGAGUAAACCACACUGCAUGGUAUAGAAGGGCCCAGGUGGUAUCUCCCUUUGUCCCUUGUCUCCUAAGGCAGCUUCACACUUAAUAAUGAAUUGAGGAACUCUGUGAAAAGCUUUUAAAGGCAUCUCUAAGAAGCCCAUGUAAGUUGCUUUAUUGUUAACAGGUGGGAUGUUCUCAAAGAAAGUGAAUCUAGUCAGUCCAUUUAUCCAAGAAAAAACAAAAUGAAUACCCAAUACACAAUGCCCAAAGCACACUACCAAAUAAACAAAAGAGUUACAGAGCAGCUAUUUAGUUUCUUAAAGACAGUUGGUGGCAGGGAUUUACAUAUAAUCUGAACCUAUGCUUACAGGAACCUGUUGCCAGUUGAGAAUCUGCAAUGGACCCAUCUCGGGCACAAUGCACGGCCCCAUGACCUGAAGUCUCAGUGCUGCAUAGGUAAUGUACCAUUGCUUGGUACAUGCUGUCACAUGCACUUUCUUGGUCAAUGCUCACGAACACUGUGGAUUCUUACUAACCACUUAUCUAUAUCCCCUUCAGUCUUCUCAUUCUACAGAUGGGAAAACUGACCCCCAAAGCCACAGUACACAGUGGAGGGAACUGGGGAAAUCUCACCUGCCAGGCUCCCAAGCACCUCCCUUAGCAGUUGGGGUCAUUUCUUUCCCAUCUACCAGUGUCUAAAGACAUACUCCUCCAAAACAGAGAGAGGAGAGUGUGUGUUGCAGGGAGACCUAUCUGGAUCCUCCUGGAAGGGCUGGCAGCUGCCUUGUAUGUAGACGCUCAAGUGCCCAGGUCAGCUCCCUGAACACAGAGUGGAGAUAGAUUUGAUUUUGCUGUUGGCUACCCAGGGACCUCUACAGCUGCAUGGCUUCCCUGCCACUGCUUGGUGGACAUAAGCUGAGCCUUCACAAUCUGGCUGGGGCCUUGAUGAGGCUGAAUUAGAAACUGAAACACCAGCAGGUUCGUUCCUCUUCCAGAAGGUACCAAAUGGUCCUUAGAGCCCCUCCGUGGGAGGCCUUCCUGGCCCCUCAAGGCUCUGUCCUCAGCUCUUGAUGCCACAUGCCUCUCCUGUAGAUUGAGCACCUGCUCUGUCAGGAAACCACCUCUGUUCCUGAGAAGGGAGUUCUACGAGAUUCCAGCUGUGACACCACUGUGACAGGAACUACAGUAUAUUAUUACACCUUGUUAUGUUGCCACCACAUUUGAAUUGACAUCUAUUGAUGUAAGCACAAGGGCUGAUGCUAAUUUCCCACUCUAAACCUCAUUUAAUGCCCCCAUCCCAAGUGACUUCUGGAUUGGAGGGACACUACUAUCCCUCAUCUUACAGACAGGAUGCUGUCUACAGGCACAGGCAGGUCAGGAACUGGACCCAGCAGGCAGAGGCAUUGAGGAAGGGGACUGAGAUUUGAGCUCAGGAUGCUGACGUGGCCAUGCUGGGGCCUAAACCUAUGAAGACGUCUGUGGUGCUGAGCAUAGACUAGUUAAGCACAAGACCAGAGAGAAACAUGCUCCAGGCAGGGCUGGUCCUGUGGGGAGCACAGCAAAUAGGGGUGCACUUAGGGCUCCACAACCCAGCAAGCCAUUCCUACCCAUGGGUGCUGUGAGGGUGAGUGUAGGCCGUGGGUCAAAUGUCCUCUGUGUUACUAAAUAGGGAUUAAUGUCACUCUAGACACAAGUGAGGCAGGAAGGCUCACUUCAGCCCUGGAUACAAGGACCCGAGGGAGAGCCCAGAGCCCCCAGGGACCCUGACAUGCCUGCCUCCCUGUGAGAGCCACUGUCUCGUGCUACAGCCCGGCCACAGUGUGCCAUUCCAAAUGGGCUGGCUAAUCGGCGCGCAUCCAUUAUCAUUAGCGCCUCUCUGCACCCAGGUACAAGAGGGGCUGCCAGGCGCUGGCUGCGGCUCGCUGAGCCUGGGGCCACGCUCCACUGCAAAUGAGGACGAGGAACACCUGCUCCAGGGCUUCCAGGCCGCCACAGUCAUCCUUCACAUCUCAUGCAACACUUGUUCUGUCAGAGCGCGGAGCUGGCACGGCGGGGGCAGCUCUCUGCCAGGCUCUGCCGCGCCCCCUCCCAGCCCUGCGCUCCUCUGCGCGAGAUCAGCUUUGAAUGGCUUUUCAAAGAAGUCUUUUAAAAAUGUAUCCAUUUCAUAUUAGCCAUUCAGUCAUUAUGUGAAGGGUUUAAAAAUAAA
This is a long non-coding RNA of Chinchilla lanigera (long-tailed chinchilla), 3727 nucleotides long. RefSeq lists it as uncharacterized. Lineage: Eukaryota; Metazoa; Chordata; Mammalia; Rodentia; Chinchillidae. The record is from RefSeq and is a predicted model, not a curated record. The transcript is spliced from 3 exons.